UUCUCUUUCAUCUUUCUUCUUUUCUUUGAGAAUUCAAAAAAACUUCUGUGCAUUCACCAUCAUCAUCAUCCCUUCUCUCAUCCUCUCUCUUUCUUCAUGUUUCAAUCACCAAGAACACACACAAGUGUGUGUGAGAGAAUCGUUAUUGUUAAAACCCCUUCGUGUUCAUGAAGAACACCAAGAACACACACACAAGUGUGUGAGAAAGAAGCAGGCCUGAAUCAUUCGGUUGCAUGUGUUUCUAGAGAGAGAAAGUUAUUAGAACACCAAGACCAAGAACACACACAAGUGUGUGAGAGAGAAGCAGGUCAGAAAUCAUUUGGUUCAUGGGUUUUUAGAGAGAGAAAGUUGUUAGAACGCCAAGAACACACACACACAAGUGUGUGUGAGAGAAUCAUUUUUGAAGAUCUUCAUCGUGUUCAUCAGACGGGUCUAGAUCCGGAGUGAGGAGAAUGACCAGGUCCGUGACGGGUAGGCUGGCUAAUAAGCGAAAGUAGAACGAUAAAGAAACAGAACGAUAACGAAAGAAGGUAGAUGGAGAAACCGUUGAAGAAUGGGAACAAGAAGUCGAUGAAGGGCAGGUAGUGGGUACCUUUGACGUUGUACAGAAGUUACCCUCCAGUGUAACACAUGUUACAAACAUGUGUUACAUAUGUUCAACCCCUUUGUUACCAAAAAUCGGGGCUGCACAUAUGUAAGACAUGUUUGUAACUUAUGUUACACUAGAGGGUAACACAUGUAUGAUCAUUUUUGGAUCAUUUGUAUAUAUUUAAGUCUGUAUAAACCUACAACAUUGAUACCCCCAAAAAGGUUACACAUGUUACGAUAGAAUGGGAAAUGUGUAGCAACGUUCAAUACUGUUGUUUCACUCUAUAGUGUGUAACAUGUGUGAAAUGGCGUUUGUCAGUAAAACAUAUAACUUGUAAGGUGAUACGACUGUAUCUUUAAAACAUGUUUACCUAUAAGUACUUACAUGUUACAGGUUGUAUCUUUAAAA
Molecule: long non-coding RNA, 997 nt
Organism: Helianthus annuus (common sunflower)
Lineage: Eukaryota; Viridiplantae; Streptophyta; Magnoliopsida; Asterales; Asteraceae
Exons: 2
Source: RefSeq, a predicted model, not a curated record